AGUGGCGAACGGGUGAGUAACGCGUAAGUAACCUACCUCUAAGUGGGGGAUAGCUUCGGGAAACUGAAGGUAAUACCGCAUGUGGUGGACCGACAUAUGUUGGUUCACUAAAGCCGUAAGGCGCUUGGUGAGGGGCUUGCGUCCGAUUAGCUAGUUGGUGGGGUAAUGGCCUACCAAGGCUUCGAUCGGUAGCUGGUCUGAGAGGAUGAUCAGCCACACUGGGACUGAGACACGGCCCAGACUCCUACGGGAGGCAGCAGCAAGGAAUCUUGGGCAAUGGGCGAAAGCCUGACCCAGCAACGCCGCGUGAGGGAUGAAGGCUUUCGGGUUGUAAACCUCUUUUCAUAGGGAAGAAUAAUGACGGUACCUGUGGAAUAAGCUUCGGCUAACUACGUGCCAGCAGCCGCGGUAAUACGUAGGAAGCAAGCGUUAUCCGGAUUUAUUGGGCGUAAAGUGAGCGUAGGUGGUCUUUCAAGUUGGAUGUGAAAUUUCCCGGCUUAACCGGGACGAGUCAUUCAAUACUGUUGGACUAGAGUACAGCAGGAGAAAACGGAAUUCCCGGUGUAGUGGUAAAAUGCGUAGAUAUCGGGAGGAACACCAGAGGCGAAGGCGGUUUUCUAGGUUGUCACUGACACUGAGGCUCGAAAGCGUGGGGAGCGAACAGAAUUAGAUACUCUGGUAGUCCACGCCUUAAACUAUGGACACUAGGUAUA
RNAcentral lists this ribosomal RNA (713 nucleotides) under uncultured Dehalococcoides sp. RNAcentral describes it as "bacterial SSU rRNA". It matches the Rfam family "Bacterial small subunit ribosomal RNA", at positions 94 to 824 of the family's 1533-position model. Lineage: Bacteria; Bacillati; Chloroflexota; Dehalococcoidia; Dehalococcoidales; Dehalococcoidaceae. The record is from RNAcentral.